Long non-coding RNA from Vicia villosa (hairy vetch), 851 nucleotides. RefSeq lists it as uncharacterized. Lineage: Eukaryota; Viridiplantae; Streptophyta; Magnoliopsida; Fabales; Fabaceae. The record is from RefSeq and is a predicted model, not a curated record. The transcript has 3 exons.
GUUAUCUCUGUCGCUGUCAUUUCCUCAUAGAACCCUAGCCGUAUUCGCCCUCCUCUUCUUGCCGUUCCUUUCGCCUACGACAACCAUCUCACCUACAUCCUUUUGCGUUCUGGUUUUCGUCCCUUUCCGAUUCUAGGCUCCUUCAAUUUCGUGUUAUUGCCUCCAUUAUUGAGUGGAUGCCUCACCGUAAGCUCUUAUCUUCUCUCUGCCAUCACCAGAACAAAAAUUUAUAUCACUCAAGUUUGAUUAGUCACUGUUCAAGGGAAAUCAAGAGGAACAAUGGAAAAAGGACCUUUCCUCUAUGCACACAAGAGAUGGAUUAGAGAGAUAAGCAAUUGAAAUUCUGUUGAUGUGAUUACGAGAAAUGAUUAAUCCAACGGGUUGUGCAACAAAAUCUUCAAGCGCUGUUAAUCUUGACAAUUGAAUUCACUUGAUUGAAUUUGAUUUUUCAUUUGAGUAUAUGGGUCACUAUAUUACCUCUGAGAAGUAACACUGUUGAAGACUAUCUAUUAUUUAGUAGUACUUUCUGACUUUUGAUUAGAGUUGAGUAGUUUAGGUAAUUAUAGGAUAAUAGCAAAAUUCUUUGUAUAGUAUAGUGUUUUUAGGAGUCUAAAAGCUGCAGUCAGGAAUUUAGGAAUGAGAUCACUCAUUAGGGAUGUUAACAACGUUUAUUGUAUAUUUAGUUUUAGAGUUAAACUUUAUGUACAAUUAUUUAUACUUGAAUUCUUUUUUAUGUAAUGAAUAAAUCUUUUCAUAAGAAGUAUAAUUUAAAAAGUAUUGUGAAAUACAAUUUCAGUACAAUUGUGACCCUAAAGUACGUAUAAGCAAUAUAUGGAAUUGAAUAUUAAAGU